Molecule: ribosomal RNA, 377 nt
Filed under: uncultured eukaryote
Lineage: Eukaryota
Description: partial 18S ribosomal RNA
Rfam family: Eukaryotic small subunit ribosomal RNA
Source: RNAcentral
CAAUAGCGUAUAUUAAAGUUGUUGCAGUUAAAAAGCUCGUAGUUGGAUUUCGGGGCGGCCUGCCUGGUCCACCGCAAGGUGAGUACUGGUCAGCCGCCCUUCCUCUCGAAAGCCCCGACUGCUCUUCAUUGCAGUGGUCGGGUAGUUCGGGACGUUUACUUUGAAAAAAUUAGAGUGUUCAAGGCAGGCCGUCGCCUGAAUACAUUAGCAUGGAAUAAUGGAAGAGGACCUCGGUCCUAUUUUGUUGGUUUCUAGGGCCGAAGUAAUGAUUAAGAGGGACAGUUGGGGGCAUUCGUAUUUAAUUGUCAGAGGUGAAAUUCUUGGAUUUAUGAAAGACGAACUAGUGCGAAAGCAUUUGCCAAGGAUGUUUUCAUUAA